GAUGAACGCUGGCGGCGUGCCUAAUACAUGCAAGUCGAGCGAACCACUUCGGUGGUGAGCGGCGAACGGGUGAGUAACACGUAGGUGAUCUGCCCAUCAGACGGGGACAACGAUUGGAAACGAUCGCUAAUACCGGAUAGGACGAAAGUUUAAAGGUGCUUCUGGCACCGCUGAUGGAUGAGCCUGCGGCGCAUUAGCUAGUUGGUAGGGUAAAGGCCUAACAAGGCGACGAUGCGUAGCCGACCUGAGAGGGUGAACGGCCACACUGGGACUGAGACACGGCCCGGACUCCUACGGGAGGCAGCAGUAGGGAAUCUUCGGCAAUGGGCGAAAGCCUGACCGAGCAACGCCGCGUGAAUGAUGAAGGCCUUCGGGUUGUAAAAUUCUGUUAUAAGGGAAGAACGACUUUAGUAGGAAAUGGCUAGAGUGUGACGGUACCUUAUGAGAAAGCCACGGCUAACUACGUGCCAGCAGCCGCAGUAA
Molecule: ribosomal RNA, 483 nt
Filed under: uncultured bacterium
Lineage: Bacteria
Description: partial 16S ribosomal RNA
Rfam family: Bacterial small subunit ribosomal RNA
Source: RNAcentral